This 409-nucleotide ribosomal RNA is filed under the name uncultured microorganism. RNAcentral's name for it is "bacterial SSU rRNA". It matches the Rfam family "Archaeal small subunit ribosomal RNA", at positions 330 to 745 of the family's 1478-position model. The record is from RNAcentral.
GUGCACCAGGCGCGAAUACUUUACAAUGUGCGAAAGCACGAUAAGGGAACUCUGAGUGCCUCCUAAGGAGGCUGUUCAGGUGUCUAAAAGCACCUGAAGGAAGGGCUGGGUAAGACCGGUGCCAGCCGCCGCGGUAACACCGGCAGCCCAAGUGGUAGCCACGUUUAUUGGGUCUAAAGCGUCCGUAGCCGGCUGGGUAAGUUCCUUGGGAAAUUUGGCUGCUUAACAGUCAAGCUUUCAGGGAAUACUGCCCGGCUUGGGACCGGGAGAGGUCAGAGGUACUCCAGGGGUAGGGGUGAAAUCCAUUAAUCCUUGGGGGACCACCGGUAGCGAAGGCGUCUGACCAGACCGGGUCCGACGGUGAGGGACGAAGGCUAGGGGCGCGAACCGGAUUAGAUACCCCGAUAGU